This 485-nucleotide ribosomal RNA is filed under the name uncultured bacterium. Its description in RNAcentral is "partial 16S ribosomal RNA". It matches the Rfam family "Bacterial small subunit ribosomal RNA", at positions 28 to 507 of the family's 1533-position model. The record is from RNAcentral.
GAUGAACGCUGGCGGCGUGCUUAACACAUGCAAGUCGAACGGGAUCCCAGGGGUGCUUGCACUUUUUGGUGAGAGUGGCGAACGGGUGAGUAACACGUGAGUAACCUGUCCUUUUCUUUGGGAUAAGCAUUCGAAAGGGUGUUUAAUACCUUAUGUUCUGUCUGCCUCGCAUGGGGUGGGUGGGAAAGGCUUUGGCCGGAUUUGGGUGGGCUCGCGGUCUAUCAGCUUGUUGGUGGGGUGAUGGCUUACCAAGGCUUUGACGGGUAGCCGGCCUGAGAGGGUGGUCGGUCACAUUGGGACUGAGAUACGGCCCAGACUCCUGCGGGAGGCAGCAGUGGGGGAAAUUGCACAAUGGGCGAAAGCCUGAUGCAGCGACGCCGCGUGGGGGAUGAAGGCCUUCGGGUUGUAAACUUCUUUUGCUCUGAACAAGGCAUGCCAGUGGGUGUGUUGAGUGUAGGGGUUGAUUAGCGCCGGCUAACUACGUG